UGGGGAAUAUUGCACAAUGGGCGCAAGCCUGAUGCAGCCAUGCCGCGUGUAUGAAGAAGGCCUUCGGGUUGUAAAGUACUUUCAGCGGGGAGGAAGGGAGUAAAGUUAAUACCUUUGCUCAUUGACGUUACCCGCAGAAGAAGCACCGGCUAACUCCGUGCCAGCAGCCGCGGUAAUACGGAGGGUGCAAGCGUUAAUCGGAAUUACUGGGCGUAAAGCGCACGCAGGCGGUUUGUUAAGUCAGAUGAGAAAUCCCCGGGCUCAACCUGGGAACUGCAUCUGAUACUGGCAAGCUUGAGUCUCGUAGAGGGGGGUAGAAUUCCAGGUGUAGCGGUGAAAUGCGUAGAGAUCUGGAGGAAUACCGGUGGCGAAGGCGGCCCCCUGGACGAAGACUGACGCUCAGGUGCGAAAGCGUGGGGAGCAAACAGG
RNAcentral lists this ribosomal RNA (429 nucleotides) under Chloroflexota bacterium. Its description in RNAcentral is "Chloroflexi bacterium partial 16S ribosomal RNA". It matches the Rfam family "Bacterial small subunit ribosomal RNA", at positions 355 to 776 of the family's 1533-position model. The record is from RNAcentral. Lineage: Bacteria; Bacillati; Chloroflexota.